AACUUGACAUAUCAUUGAUAUUAAUAAUCUAAUUUUACAGAAAUGGAGAUAUUAAGUGUAUUAGGGAUGUCUUCCUUUUUGUAUAACGGGUAAACUAUAAUCUCUUUAUUUUAAGGUUCCCGAAAGUAGAAGAUCUAACCUUUAGUGGCUUUUAGGCUUUGAAGUAUUAUGUGGCAUUAUAACAUGUUAACUUAAGGUUAGGGGCGAAAUACCUACAAUUCUACUAAUAUCUGGAUUUAAGUUAAAAGUAUAUAGUACUGAAAACAAGUAUGUAGUAUUAAGGCUACAUACUAAAAAGAUCUAGGAUAUUCUAGGUUGACAUCUAGGGCUAAAAACUCCAGUUGUAAAUAAACCCAAAGAUUAAUUUCCUAUGUUAUUUUUCUUAUAACUUUAACAUUAGUAAAAACUUUCUUAUUAUUAGAUAAUGUUUAUAUUAGUAAUAAAUACUUUAAAAUUCUAAAUAUAGGGAAAGGAACUCGGCAAACCUUACUUUAACUGUUUACCAAAAACAUAGCCUUAAGUUUUAUUUAAGGUGAAGCCUGCCCAGUGCCUAGCGUUAACGGCCGCAGUACCUUGACUGUGCUAAGGUAGCAUAAUCAGUUGGCUUUUAAAUGGAGUCGGGAAUGAAUGGACUAAUGGAGUGAAGCUGUCUCUCCUAUAUUAAAUUUAAUUUACUUAUUAAGUGAAAAUGCUUAAAUUAAGAAAAAAGACGAGAAGACCCUAGGAGUUUUAACUAAAUACUAUUUAUAUAGUUUAUGUUUUUGUUGGGGCGACAUAGGAGUAAUUUUAAACCUCCUUUAUUUUAUUUGCCGACUAUGUAUGUAAAUUUAAACUACCCUAGGGAUAACAGCGUAAUUCUUUUUGAGCUUGCGACCUCGAUGUUGGACUAGGAAUUUGGUAGGCUAGCCGCCUACCGCCUAUUUAUAUUGUUCUGUUCGAACUAUUUUUCCU
Molecule: ribosomal RNA, 951 nt
Filed under: Aplysiopsis minor
Lineage: Eukaryota; Metazoa; Mollusca; Gastropoda; Limapontiidae
Description: partial 16S ribosomal RNA
Rfam family: Bacterial large subunit ribosomal RNA
Source: RNAcentral